ACGUAGGCACACAGGACAGGGACUAAUCGUGAAAAUUUCCCAUUUAAAAGAAAUGUGCACAUUUCCAUCCCUUGAAUGCACGGUCAGCUUUUCCCCUUCCCCAGGCUCUACUUUUGAGGGGAAAAAAAACAAAUGAAGCCUACUUUUUGUUUUUUUAUUUUUAAAACAUUGAACACCCCUUUUUUGAAAACCAAAAAAAAAUAUUUACCCAUCAUCUCUCUUAUUUUCCUUAAAGAAAAACAGAGAGAAAGCUCUCAAAUUUUCUCUUAGGCCUGCGCCACCCUCAUCAGAGGUCCGGCGAGCCGAGGUCGCGAGUUCGUCGGUGAUGUCAGACGCGUGAAGGAGCCAUGGUGGUGUGCGGUGCACAUGGGAGAAGCGGCGGCUGGAGAGGAGGCUAGGUUUUUUGUGUCUGCUGAAAUUUUUUUUUUUUUUUAGGUAGCGGGCUUGGGCUGUUAGGGUCUGUAAAUUGGGUCAUUUGAUUUUGGGUUUGGGUCAUUCAAUUGGGCCCGGGCAGAUUUGGGUCCCUACACAUGGUAUGUUAGGUACACAAGGAAGAUGGCAGAAGCUAUACCUGGUGAGAUGCAACUUGAAUACCCUAUGAAAAAUAUUAAAACACACGCAAAUACAACAAGAUCAUUCAGGUAUAUACGAAUAUAUUAAAAUUUGUAUAA
This is a long non-coding RNA of Gossypium arboreum, 671 nucleotides long. RefSeq lists it as uncharacterized. The transcript has 2 exons. NCBI's taxonomy places the organism in Eukaryota, Viridiplantae, Streptophyta, Magnoliopsida, Malvales, Malvaceae. The record is from RefSeq and is a predicted model, not a curated record.